RNAcentral lists this ribosomal RNA (253 nucleotides) under uncultured bacterium. RNAcentral's name for it is "partial 16S ribosomal RNA". It matches the Rfam family "Bacterial small subunit ribosomal RNA", at positions 524 to 776 of the family's 1533-position model. The record is from RNAcentral.
UACAGAGGGUGCAAGCGUUGUCCGGAAUCACUGGGCGUAAAGGGCGCGUAGGCGGCCUGAUAAGUAGGGGGCGAAAUCCUGUGGCUCAACUGCAGGGCUGCCUCCUAGACUGUCGGGCUUGAGCACGGUAGAGGCAGAUGGAAUUCCCGGUGUAGCGGUGGAAUGCGUAGAGAUCGGGAAGAACAUCGGUGGCGAAGGCGGUCUGCUGGGCCGUUGCUGACGCUGAGGCGCGAAAGCCAGGGGAGCAAACGGG